Molecule: non-coding RNA, 74 nt
Organism: Parelaphostrongylus tenuis
Lineage: Eukaryota; Metazoa; Nematoda; Chromadorea; Rhabditida; Metastrongylidae
Source: the annotation of a GenBank genome assembly
GCGCCAGUGGCGCAAAGAAUAGUGCACGCGUCUGCGAAUUGGGUGAAAUACGGGUUCAAGUCCCGUCUGACGCA